UACGAAGGGGGCUAGCGUUGCUCGGAAUCACUGGGCGUAAAGCGCACGUAGGCGGCUUCUUAAGUCAGGGGUGAAAUCCUGGAGCUCAACUCCAGAACUGCCUUUGAUACUGAGAAGCUUGAGUCCGGGAGAGGUGAGUGGAACUGCGAGUGUAGAGGUGAAAUUCGUAGAUAUUCGCAAGAACACCAGUGGCGAAGGCGGCUCACUGGCCCGAUACUGACGCUGAGGCGCGAAAGCGUGGGGAGCAAACAGG
RNAcentral lists this ribosomal RNA (253 nucleotides) under uncultured bacterium. RNAcentral's name for it is "partial 16S ribosomal RNA". It matches the Rfam family "Bacterial small subunit ribosomal RNA", at positions 524 to 776 of the family's 1533-position model. The record is from RNAcentral.